This 498-nucleotide ribosomal RNA is filed under the name uncultured bacterium. Its description in RNAcentral is "partial 16S ribosomal RNA". It matches the Rfam family "Bacterial small subunit ribosomal RNA", at positions 28 to 507 of the family's 1533-position model. The record is from RNAcentral.
GAUGAACGCUGGCGGCGUGCCUAAUACAUGCAAGUCGAGCGAACGGACGAGAAGCUUGCUUCUCUGAUGUUAGCGGCGGACGGGUGAGUAACACGUGGAUAACCUACCUAUAAGACUGGGAUAACUUCGGGAAACCGGCGCUAAUACCGGAUAAUAUUUUGAACCGCAUUGUUCAAAAGUGAAAGACGGUCUUGCCAUUACUUAUAGAUGGAUCCGCGCUGCAUUAGCUAGUUGGUAAGGUAACGGCUAAACAAGGCAACGAUACAUAGCCGACAUGAGAGGGUGAGCGGCCAAACUGGGACUGAGACACGGGCCAGACCACUACGGGAGGAAGAAGUAGGGAAGUUUCGGAAAUGGACGGAAGUCUGACAGAGCAACGCGGCGGGAGUGAAGAAGGUUUUCGGAUCGUAAAGAUCUGUUGGAAGAGAAGAACGAGGGUGAGAGUGGAAAGUUCACACUGUGACGGUAUCUUACCAGAAAGGGACGGCUAACUACGUG